GCCGUUAUAGCUCAGUCGGUAGAGCAACUGACUUGUAAUCAGUAGGUCGAUCGGGUUCGAAUCCCUCUGACGGCA
This 75-nucleotide transfer RNA is filed under the name Pseudomonas phage vB_PaeM_PS119XW. RNAcentral's name for it is "tRNA-Thr". It matches the Rfam family "tRNA". From Rfam's summary of the family: Transfer RNA (tRNA) molecules are approximately 80 nucleotides in length. Their secondary structure includes four short double-helical elements and three loops (D, anti-codon, and T loops). RNAcentral also lists the same sequence under 1 other name. Lineage: Duplodnaviria; Heunggongvirae; Uroviricota; Caudoviricetes; Chimalliviridae. The record is from RNAcentral.